GUACACUCCUACGGGAGGCAGCAGUGGGGAAUAUUGGACAAUGGGCGCAAGCCUGAUCCAGCCAUGCCGCGUGAGUGAUGAAGGCCCUAGGGUUGUAAAGCUCUUUCACCGGUGAAGAUAAUGACGGUAACCGGAGAAGAAGCCCCGGCUAACUUCGUGCCAGCAGCCGCGGUAAUACGAAGGGGGCUAGCGUUGUUCGGAUUUACUGGGCGUAAAGCGCACGUAGGCGGACUAUUAAGUCAGGGGUGAAAACCAGGGGCUCAACCCCGGAACUGCCUUUGAUACUGGUAGUCUUGAGUUCGAGAGAGGUGAGUGGAAUUCCGAGUGUAGAGGUGAAAUUCGUAGAUAUUCGGAGGAACACCAGUGGCGAAGGCGGCUCACUGGCUCGAUACUGACGCUGAGGUGCGAAAGCGUGGGGAGCAAACAGGAUUAGAUACCCUUGUAGUCCC
RNAcentral lists this ribosomal RNA (449 nucleotides) under uncultured organism. RNAcentral's name for it is "partial 16S ribosomal RNA". It matches the Rfam family "Bacterial small subunit ribosomal RNA", at positions 331 to 797 of the family's 1533-position model. The record is from RNAcentral.